This is a long non-coding RNA of Pangasianodon hypophthalmus (striped catfish), 5958 nucleotides long. RefSeq lists it as uncharacterized. NCBI's taxonomy places the organism in Eukaryota, Metazoa, Chordata, Actinopteri, Siluriformes, Pangasiidae. The record is from RefSeq and is a predicted model, not a curated record. The transcript has 6 exons.
ACAACCGUACGCCGUACGACGUGUAGUGAAAUGCUUUUUACGACUGUCCGUGACAUAAAAUAGAAUUUACGUAGAGUUAGAAAAUGGGAAUGUAUUAAAAGAAAAAGUAUACAAGUACAAUGUGAGGAUUUAAAGAUGGGUGGCAGUAACAGUCUGAUAAAUUGCAGAUGUGUGCAGUUGUUUUGUGUAAUAUAAUGCUGUGCAACAUUAAGCUGAGGUAGUUAUAUGAAAUUGCCCACAUAUAUAAUAAAGAUUUAUAAAUACAGGAUAAAAAGUAAUACAGGAUAAAAUGCUUACUGAAGAUUAAUGAAUAGAAGAUGUAUUAAAGAAUGUAGGUGGUGUGGGUAUUGUGAAAGCGAGUCCAAGCUCUAGUCCUUGGUUCAGGGCCCCUGUGGCCUGUGGGAAGAAGCUCCUCCUCAUUCUCUCUGUAUUAGCUUUCAGGGAGUGGAAGCGGUUCCCUGACUGCAACAGAGAGAAGAGUCCAUUGUUCGGAUGGCUGAGGUCCUUCACUAUCUUCCUGGCCUUGGUCCAGCACCGCUUGCUGUAGAUCUACUGUAGGUCAGGGAGCUCAGUGCGGAUGGUACACUCAGCUGAUCGCACCACCCUCUGAAUUAACCAGAGGAUGACCUCUGGUCCUCUGGAUAGCCACAUCAUCUGACUCCGGCAGAGCUAAUCAGAGCUGUGUUGAGUAAGCAGUUAAAACAGCAACACUGCCACCAACCCAGUCAUAACUCAGCCAGUAAGAUCUACAAUUGUGUUUACAUUCUUUUUAUAUCCCACACCCAUUCAAAUCUACAAAUAGCAGUACAGGAAACUGGACAGAAGAAUUUUGGAGCUAGCCCAGAUGUUCAUGUAACAUCUUACCCACAUAACAAAUGUGAACAUUUACCUUUCCUGACACCCAAGAGCACUGUUUUAAGUUCAAGCACUGAUUUAAGAAAGCCUUCUUUAAAGCCAACCACUUUUUAAAAAUAUAAUCUGGUUGUCUUUCUUUGUUAUGAAUAAAAUUAAUUGCUCAUGCUUCUAGAUUUUGGAACACGGCUGUGGGGAUUUGUCCAUUCAGCCACGAGAGCAUUAGUGGGGUCAGGCACUGAUGUCAGUUGAGAAGGCCUGGAUCACAGUCAGUGUUCCAAUUCAUCCCAAAAGUGAGCCGUAGGGUUGAGGUCAUGGCUCGGUGCAGAACACUCAAGCUCUUCCACACCAACUUUGGCAAAUUCUCAUAUAUAAGCUUGACUAUCUCUUUUUUCUGCUAUUUUAUUAGGCAUACUCUUUUCAGUGGUAAUAUUUUUGUUUUGUUUAUAUAACAUUACCUUGGAUAUUGUACUGGGUCAAUUAAUGGAGUAAAUGAAUGCAAAUGGAAGUAAGAAAAAUUAGCACAUUUGAAUCUAUAACUACUAAUUGUCCAAAUAGCCCAUGCUCCACUGGGAGCAAUUUAGUGUUUAUAAGCACUGCAUGUCUCUGGAGCUGGCAGCCCACACUCGACUGACUUGCCUAUUACUUUAGGGGCAUUUCUGUUCACUCUUGUUUGUAGGGGAAGAGAACAGAGUUUGACUCCUGCAUUAGUGACUAUUUCAAGGAAAGUGCUAGGAUCCUGCUGGAUUUUAAGAACAUUUAACCAAGCUUAAUAGCUUUAUUGAACUGUGCAGAAAGCAUGCUGAGGGUUACAGUCCACUAAGAACCCUUACUCAAAGGAACAAGAGGGCAAGUAGGAAAGAGAAGAACAUAAGCGAGGACAGCUAUAGUGUGUACUAGUACAGGCUUGCUUGUUUGGUAUUAUGAGUAAUGAUGUUACCUGUUCUAACACUGCUUAAUCAUACCCAGUCUUACACUAAAUUGUUAAGGAUUCUAAUGAAUGAGAGCAAAAAAAAAAAAAAAAAAAGAAAAAGAAAUUGCCCUGUGUGUUUUCUUUCAUGCCAUACUAACCUCUUCCAACAUAGAUUCUUAGUUAGAUGGUAUUCUUAGUCCCUGACCUAGUGAAAUAGCACGAGGAUAUUUUUGAUAGAGACUACAGUGCAAUCUGAUAAGUUGCUUUGGAUAAGACCAUCUGCUAAAUGCUGUAAAGGACCAGGGAAGCUGUCCAGGGUUCAGGAAGGUUUAAUAGUUAAUUGCCAUGCAGAAUAUAACCAUCGGAAAUAUGUCUACUUGAUCAAAAUAUAAUGGUAAAAAAAAAAUCUAAAUCUAAAGCAUCACUCAUCAGAUUCCUAUUUCAUCUGUCUUUGAGGAAAGUAGUUGAAGUUAGAGAAGAUUUAACAGAAAGAAGAAAAAGGCAUAUGGUUCUUCUCCAGGACAGUGACCGCUCUUUGAUCCACAAAAAUACUCCAUGGCCUCACACAACAUACCAAGCAAAAACUAAAACAGGAGAGAGAAAACAUAAGCGAUGUUACAGACAACAGCUGAGACAGCAGGCUUUACAAAGUCAACAUCAGCCCCACGGAGUCAAGGGAUUGUGAUCAGUAUGUGCAGUGACCACUGACACAAAUAGUCAUGGUGUACAAGGCAUGAGAAGAAGAAAAAGGAAGCUGGACUUGCUCUUUAAUCACAAACACAGUUCAUAAUCAUACCUCAUAUUUUGGAGCAGGACUGUGGGGUUUUGCUCAUUCAGCCACAAGAGCAUUAAUGGGGUCAGACACUGAUGUCAGGCGAGGAGGCCUGGGGUGCAGUCGGCGUUCCAGUUCAUUCCAAAGUUUGACUGGAAAAACAUACACCCGGUCUCCUGUUCCAGUGACUACAGCUCAUUGCUUUUCUGUUCUCAAGCUCCUGAUCCAUGAAUGAUAAGGUUAAAAUGGUCGAAAUUAUAAACAUUAAGCAUUUGUAAAAAUGAGACAAAAUUAAGUGUCAUGGUACCUAAUGAGACAAAAUUAGUGUCAUAGUACUCUCCAUAUUUUUACUGUUGAUGCUGGCCUGAGAAGCUGGAAUUGAUUCUGUUUUUGAGAUGUUUGCCUUAAAAAGACAACCACGCUGCUCCAGAAAAGUGAUAUCAGCAAACUGACAAUAACUGUAUCAUCAGCAAAUAUUAGGAUGUGCUUAUCACUGCACUAAAAUGUGUAUCUGAAUUGUUUUGUAAGCAGAAGAUAAAUCAAUAAAUAACAGCAUGGGUUUUGAGUGCUCAAUAUACCUGCAUAGGCAUGUAGUGACAGUAGCAAGAUGAUAUUAUUAGUUAUAAUGAAUAUUUGAGAGAUAGAGAGAUAGAGUGCAAAAGAAAAAUGACAAGUAAGCAAAUAACCCCCUCAAGGACACAUCCUACACACACAGACACACCCGGACCAUAACCUGAGAGGGUGUCAUGCACCUGUACAGUGUAAAUACAUUAAGCAGGAUUCUAAUGUACACCUCACAACAACCAGAGUAAAGUCACAUAUUUGCUUAAGAACAUUCUGUCACAAGGAGAUAAUUCAGAGUAGAAUGUUAAACACAUUACAAUAACCUUUACAAUAACAACUAACCAUUUGAAAUAUUCAAUACAUUCAAAACACUAAUUUUAAUAUAACAUAUUCACUCUGAAACAGAAUGUGCUGUAUAAUUUAACGCAUAAAAGAAGUAAAUGCGUGUGAGGACUCCACUUCUAUAUUUUUAAGAAUGGUUUUUCAAAUUCAAAUGAAUGGUAGAGUUUUUGACCUUGUGCUAAACAGUGUGACAGUGUGACUGCAUGAAAUUACUUCUAAUAUCUGCAGAUGGGGGCCACAAGUGUCAGAAUAAUGACUGCAUUGAGGCGGCCCAGUUAUAUCUCAGACCAUAGAGUUUGUUCAACUUUGGCUAGGGCAUUCUGGAGACCGAGAGGCAUCACCAUAUACUGGAGUAAAUUUAUCAGGAAUUCAGUGAAAGAGAGCAUACGAUCACGAGGCCAUAAAUUCAGUCAGCGGGAGAGAGAGAGAGACAGAGAGAGAGAAAGAGAAAGAGAGAGACCCUACCAAGCACCAGGUAAGAGGAAGUCAAGACAAAAUAGCUAAACACUAAAAAGGAACUUGCAAGUAAUGUGAUAUGUACUGUAUGAUCAGUUUACUAUAUUUAGUGAAACACAUUUAAAACAACCCACAUUGACCCCCUUUUCAUUGCAUAUAUAGAGUCAGUGCUUGCCAGUUUGAGAGAAACUACCCAUGUGGUGUUUUGGAUUUAGGGACACACAGGCCCCGUUCACACCGGGCAUUAACAUGCAUCCUGGGUGAUCAGACAGCUGAGAUGUGUAGCCAUUCACACCUGGCAUUAUGAACGUGUAUCCAGUGACCACUUGUAAUCAGAUUUCAAACUUUUCCUCUGGGAAAAGGCUGUCAUGCACAUUUAUGAUGUCAGUCUUCUGCUGCAUUUAUUUUCAGGCAGAAAUUUCCCAUGAAUCCUACAUCAUGUACUUUUAUGGGCUGUUUCAAAAGUUUUAAUCAUAUGAUAUUCCACUGUGUUUAUUUUCAGGCAGAAAUGUCCCAUGAAUCCUAUCUCAUGUACCUUUAUGGACUGUUUCCAAUGCUUUAAUUAUGUAGUCUGCUAACAAAACUUAUAAAUGAAUGAGAGAUGAGAAGACGAAUGAAGCUAUGAAAAGCAGUUGUUUUUGUCUCUUCUGUUAUAGCGUCACUUUAUCCAUUAGCAUAGCAGUGGAGAGCUGUAAAGUUCAGCAUAAUUUCCAAACAAUCUGGCAAUGAUUACAUAUUUUCUGACUAGGGCAAUGACAUAGUUGAUUAGUACAUCCUUCAUUGCUGUCUGGGAUGCAUCGAGAAGCAUUUGCGUUCAGAAUCUCGCAGUCAUUACAGAUUUUGCAAGGUGGCCAUAUACGUCCCAGACCACAUCUGAACAUGGUUUGAGUGAUCAGAUGACAGUGUGUCUUCAAGAACCAUUUGACCACCUAGCAUUACUAGCAUUACUAGCCAUUAAUACAGUAGGAAAUUGGAGGCCAUUAGGUUAGGAUCUGUUUUGAAUUACACUGCACAUUGAUAUAUUUCCAGUAUAUUAGUCUGUGACGUGUAUAAUUGCACUACAUGUUUUAAUUUUCUGCUUUCUCUUAUUUCUACUGAAACCCUAAUGGGAAACUGCUGAUUGUUUCAGUUAAGCCAGUGAUCCUUUUUUAUAAAGACAUAAUAUUCUACAAAAAGAAAAAAAAACUGUUUCAGAUGUUAGAGAAAACUUCUAAACAUCCCUUGUGUGUUAAGAGCAAGAUGUAAAUGUUCUCAUUUGAAAGUGUGCUCAUUCGGAGGUGCCUUUGAAGAGACCUCAUUUGGAGGAGGCUUCAUUUAGCUUUCGCAGAAGUGGACUCUGACUGAGAUUGGUUGUAACAGCUUCUUCCUCCACUGUUCUGCAGACAAGCAAUAUUUCUGAUUAAGAUUUGUGGACUUUAAAAAUAAGAUAAUAGUAAUUCACUGCUACUGUCAUAUUUGUGCAUUUAAUAUUGGUCUUAAAUGACAUUCUGCAUAUAGGUAGCAUUGUACAUGAGCUGAUAUCAUGCAAGAAAAAUCUAUUAAUGAUCCAUUAAUGAUUGUCUAUUAAAAAAUCUAUUAAUGGUCAGAAUCACACUUAACUGAGACACAGCACUGUUUUUCCGUGUAACUCUCUGAAUAACACUUACGUCUGUAGCUAUGUCUGAGGUCUGAAUAACAUGCUCAAUUUUGGUAUUAACUUAACACACAUAACUCAAAUCGGACUGUGGCACUAAGAGAACAAAUACAAACAUUUACAUCCAAAUCCAAACCCUUGUAUUGAACUCAGGCAGUAAACAUCUUCUGUAACAUAUUGAUCAGCCUACAGAUUGUCCCAUGAGAAGCAAUUUGCAUGAGACCCAUGUCUGAAAUCUGAGCGUCCAUGUGAACUAUGAUUCACCGUUAUACUGCUGCACGAAAGUGAAAGCUGAAAGAGUUCCAGAGAAAAAUAGUUCUCCUAUUCUUUUCUAUCUGCUACAUACUUCUACUUCCUGGAAUUUCAACACAGCCAACACAAAUAUACACACUGAGCAAGUUCUUCCUAGACGUCAAUGGCAAAAAA